GUGAGUCAUCGAAUCUUUGAACGCACCUUGCGCUCGUUGGUAUUCCGACGAGCAUGCCUGUUUGAGUGUCAUUAAAUUCUCAACCUCACCAGUUUUGUUAUGAGACUGUGUAAGGCUUGGAUGUGGGGGUUUCUGCAGGCUGCCUCAGCGCGGUCUGCUCCCCUGAAAUGCAUUAGCGAGUUCAAACUGAGCUCCGUCUAUUGGUGUGAUAAUUAUCUACGCCGUGGAUGGUUCUUAGACUUGCUUCUAACCGUCCGCAAGGACAACUCUUGACAAUUUGACCUCAAAUCAGGUAGGACUACCCGCUGAACUUAAGCAUAUCAAUAAGCGGAGGA
RNAcentral lists this unclassified non-coding RNA (335 nucleotides) under Coprinellus sp. Its description in RNAcentral is "partial contains 5.8S ribosomal RNA, internal transcribed spacer 2, and large subunit ribosomal RNA". The stretch from base 1 to 71 matches the Rfam family "5.8S ribosomal RNA", at positions 84 to 154 of the family's 154-position model. The record is from RNAcentral. Lineage: Eukaryota; Fungi; Basidiomycota; Agaricomycetes; Agaricales; Psathyrellaceae.